CAGCAAUAUGAAGGCCAGGCUGAAGACUUUGCCGGAUUAGCUGAGAGGUGGUGCAUGGCCGUCGUCAGUUCGUACUGUGAAGCAUCCUGUUAAGUCAGGCAACGAGCGAGACCCACGCCCACAGUUGCCAGCGUACUCUCUGGAGUGACGGGUACACUGUGGGGACCGCCGCUGCUAAAGCGGAGGAAGGAAUGGGCAACGGUAGGUCAGUAUGCCCCGAAUAUCCCGGGCUACACGCGAGCUACAAUGGUUGGUACAAUGGGUAUCUACCCCGAAAGGGGACGGGAAUCUCCUAAAACCAAUCUUAGUUCGGAUUGAGGGCUGCAACUCGCCCUCAUGAAGCUGGAAUCCGUAGUAAUCGCGUUUCAACAGAACGCGGUGAAUACGCCCCUGCUCCUU
Molecule: ribosomal RNA, 399 nt
Filed under: uncultured Methanosaeta sp.
Lineage: Archaea; Methanobacteriati; Methanobacteriota; Methanomicrobia; Methanotrichales; Methanotrichaceae
Description: bacterial SSU rRNA
Rfam family: Archaeal small subunit ribosomal RNA
Source: RNAcentral